RNAcentral lists this ribosomal RNA (488 nucleotides) under uncultured bacterium. Its description in RNAcentral is "bacterial SSU rRNA". It matches the Rfam family "Bacterial small subunit ribosomal RNA", at positions 30 to 507 of the family's 1533-position model. The record is from RNAcentral.
AUUGAACGCUGGCGGAAUGCUUUACACAUGCAAGUCGAACGGCAGCACGGAGAGCUUGCUCUCUGGUGGCGAGUGGCGAACGGGUGAGUAAUAUAUCGGAACGUGUCCAAUAAUGGGGGAUAACGAGUCGAAAGAUUCGCUAAUACCGCAUACGCCCUACGGGGGAAAGCAGGGGAUCGUAAGACCUUGCGUUAAUGGAGCGGCCGAUAUCUGAUUAGCUUGUUGGUGAGGUAAAGGCUCACCAAGGCGACGAUCAGUAGCUGGUUUGAGAGAACGACCAGCCACACUGGAACUGAGACACGGUCCAGACUCCUACGGGAGGCAGCAGUGGGGAAUUUUGGACAAUGGGGGCAACCCUGAUCCAGCCAUUCCGCGUGAGUGAAGAAGGCCUUCGGGUUGUAAAGCUCUUUCGCAAGGGAAGAAAACUUAUGAUCGAAUAAAUCAUGAGGUUGACGGUACCUUGAUAAGAAGCACCGGCUAACUACGUG